UAAUACGGAGGAUCCGAGCGUUAUCCGGAUUUAUUGGGUUUAAAGGGUGCGCAGGCGGGAGAUUAAGUCGGCGGUGAAAUUUUGCAGCUCAACUGUAAAAGUGCCUUCGAUACUGGUUUCCUUGAGUGUGGAUGAAGUAGGCGGAAUUUGUGGUGUAGCGGUGAAAUGCUUAGAUAUCACGAGGAACUCCGAUUGCGCAGGCAGCUUACUAAACCACUACUGACGCUCAGGCACGAAGGCGUGGGGAUCAAACAGG
This 256-nucleotide ribosomal RNA is filed under the name uncultured archaeon. Its description in RNAcentral is "partial 16S ribosomal RNA". It matches the Rfam family "Bacterial small subunit ribosomal RNA", at positions 521 to 776 of the family's 1533-position model. The record is from RNAcentral.